Molecule: ribosomal RNA, 328 nt
Filed under: uncultured eukaryote
Lineage: Eukaryota
Description: partial 18S ribosomal RNA
Rfam family: Eukaryotic small subunit ribosomal RNA
Source: RNAcentral
CCCUUAGAUGUCCGGGGCUGCACGCGCGCUACACUGAAGGAAUCAGCGUGCGAAAACCAUUGUCGAAAGGCAUUGGUAAACCCAUUAAAAUCCUACGUGAUUGGGAUCGGGAAUUGCAAUUAUUUCCCUUGAACGAGGAAUUCCCAGUAAGUGUGGGUCAUAAGCUCGCGUUGAUUACGUCCCUGCCCUUUGUACACACCGCCCGUCGCUGCCCGGGACUGAGCCGUUUCGAGAAAAGCGGGGACUGCUGCUGUCGGGGCUUUCGGGCCUUGGCUUCGGUGGAAACCGCUUUAAUCGCAGUGGCUUGAACCGGGCAAAAGUCGUAACA